GUGUGUGUGUGUGUGUGUGUGUAUUAAAAAUUACUGUUUGCCCCCCUAAAAUUUUUGAAAUUAAAAUUUUAUGUAUAAAAUUUAGUUUUUUUUUUUAAAAAACUAUUAUUUGUCCCUUUUUUUUUCUUUGUUUUGGCCUUCGCAUUUUAAUGUAAAUUUCAUUCAUGCUUUUUUUAUAUUAUUUAAUUUUGAUAUCUUAAUAUUUUAUAUUUUUAUUUUAGUCCCUAUAUUUUUAUUAAUAUUGCAUUUAUUUUUUUUAAUAUUGAUUUUUGGCCUCCUCAACGAUGAAUUUCUAGUUCUGCCUGUGUGACGAUGAGAUAAAUUGUCCUUAAUUUGUAAGUGUUUUACUUAGAUGCAUACAAUGAGGUCAGAGAACUUUCUGAUUUUACUUUAUCCCCCCUGUAUUUCUAUGGAGGAAGUAAAUUAUCCUUGAUUGCCUUCAGGAUCGCAUCAGGUUGUAUUUUCUUUUCUUAGUUUCAACUCAACUCAACUAAGCAUUU
This 500-nucleotide unclassified non-coding RNA is filed under the name Hevea brasiliensis (rubber tree). Lineage: Eukaryota; Viridiplantae; Streptophyta; Magnoliopsida; Malpighiales; Euphorbiaceae. The record is from RNAcentral.